CCUANGGGCGGCAGCAGUGGGGAAUUGUUCGCAAUGGGCGAAAGCCUGACGACGCAACGCCGCGUGGGGGAUGAAGGUCUUCGGAUCGUAAACCCCUGUCGAGCGGGACGAAUGGCCCGCGAUUGAAUAGAUCGUGGGAGUGACGGUACCGCUAAAGGAAGCCACGGCUAACUCUGUGCCAGCAGCCGCGGUAAUACAGAGGUGGCAAGCGUUGUUCGGAAUUACUGGGCGUAAAGGGCGCGUAGGCGGCUUCCUCAGUCGGACGUGAAAUCCCCAGGCUUAACCUGGGAACGGCGUCCGAUACUGGGAGGCUUGAGUUCGGGAGAGGGAUGUAGAAUUCCAGGUGUAGCGGUGAAAUGCGUAGAUAUCUGGAGGAAUACCGGUGGCGAAGGCGGCAUCCUGGACCGAAACUGACGCUGAGGCGCGAAAGCUAGGGUAGCAAACGGGAUUAGAUACCCCANUAGUC
RNAcentral lists this ribosomal RNA (466 nucleotides) under uncultured bacterium. RNAcentral describes it as "bacterial SSU rRNA". It matches the Rfam family "Bacterial small subunit ribosomal RNA", at positions 338 to 795 of the family's 1533-position model. The record is from RNAcentral.